RNAcentral lists this long non-coding RNA (1498 nucleotides) under Marmota monax (woodchuck). The record is from RNAcentral. Lineage: Eukaryota; Metazoa; Chordata; Mammalia; Rodentia; Sciuridae.
GUGGAGUGUUAUCCGGCCAUAAAGUAUUUGAAUUCCAGCCCACGAAGUAUCAGUACAUGCAGCAACAUAGAUGAACCUUGAAAACAUGAAAUUGAGCAAAAGAAGCAAAGUCAGUUUCAAAAGACCACAUACUAUACAUUACCCAGGCUCAUGAAAUAUCCAGAAAGGCAAAUUCAAAGACAAAGAGAGCAGCUGAGUGGUUGCCAGGGACUGGGGAGGGAGGAAUGGGAAGUGACCACUUGGUGGGUGUAAGCUUUCCUCUUGGGGUGACGAGUUGUUCUGGAAGAAGAUAGUGGUGACGGUUGUGCGACAUUGGGAACGUACUAAGCACCACUGAAUUGUACACUUUAAAAUGGUACAUUUUGUAUUUUGUGUAUUUUAUCACCCCUCCUCCUAAAAAGAAGUGAGUACUCAGGGUAUGAUAAGAAUAAGCCCAGAAAGGGAGGUGACCUUGCUGCCAGGCCAGAAGGCCAUGGAGUGGUACAUGAUGUGGAGCAGGGGGUGACCUACCUGGGAAAUUAGGGGGUCACAGAGCCUGGAGGUAUGAAGCAAGCAGGCAGAAGCAACAUGUUUCUAUAGUUGACGUCAAAAUCCUGGUGGAGAGCCUGCUGGGAACUGCAGGCCUCCCAGGUUUAAGAGGCUCGUGUGUGUGUGUGUGUGUGUGUGUGUGUGUGUGAGUGUGUGCAUUUCCUGUAACUAAUGUGGGCUGGGACUUGUCUGUCUUGGCUGCAUUAAACCGAAGACAAGUUCUCCCUGGCUUGGCAGGAAGCAUGUGAAGCUACUGCCAAGACAUCUGUUUCAUCUUUCUUGGCAACGUGAGGCCUCCUGAGAGAGAGACUGCAGCUUGGAAAUGGGAACAUCCGUACUUCUUUCUCCUGUUCUCCUGUGGGACUUCACAAGACGCUCCGGCCUCAAGUUUAGAGAGAGUCAGAUGUAGGAGGCUGGGCUGCAGAGAACCCAGCACUCAGGGGAGAGGACCAUGUGGGGUGCUGGGCGCUGGCGGGCAGGUAGCACAACCAGGGGAGGCCCAAAAACAGCCUGGAAAUCCCGACUUGGGAGCAGCGUCUGUCCUCCUCUGUGACCUUCUUGGCUUCUGAUGUGGGGAAAUUGGGGGAACUGGUCUGGGAGAAAGAACGUAUGGGCUUCUGCUCAGAUAGGCCAGGCCUGAGUCCCAGCAUGCUUCCUCUCUGAGUGACCUUGGGCAUGUUCCACAGCCUCAUCUGUGAAAAGGGAAAAUAUCUUGUCUCUAACACCAGGGACCUGCCACUGACUUGCUGAUAUUUUAUGACAAAACUCCAGUCACAGAGCUGUCCCUGGGAAGUCCUUAAAACAGGUGUUGAGAAGCAGGGUUCAGGUGUCUACAGUUGAGACUCAAAUGACCAUGGACACAAGGACAGCCAUCUCUCUGACCAGCCCCAAGGCUCCCUAUGGAACAAGUACAGAAGUGCCCUUAGUUAUGCUACAUCUCUUGCCUUCUGGAAACUUUUCUGAAGCUCUC